CAGCAGCCACGGUAAUACAGAGGGUGCGAGCGUUAAUCGGAUUUACUGGGCGUAAAGCGUGCGUAGGCGGCUUUUUAAGUCGGAUGUGAAAUCCCUGAGCUUAACUUAGGAAUUGCAUUCGAUACUGGGAAGCUAGAGUAUGGGAGAGGAUGGUAGAAUUCCAGGUGUAGCGGUGAAAUGCGUAGAGAUCUGGAGGAAUACCGAUGGCGAAGGCAGCCAUCUGGCCUAAUACUGACGCUGAGGUACGAAAGCAUGGGGAGCAAACAGGAUUAGAGACCCCUGUAGUCCCUGUCUCUUAUAC
This 301-nucleotide ribosomal RNA is filed under the name uncultured bacterium. RNAcentral describes it as "partial 16S ribosomal RNA". It matches the Rfam family "Bacterial small subunit ribosomal RNA", at positions 509 to 807 of the family's 1533-position model. The record is from RNAcentral.